GUCACUCUUGCUCAGGCUGGUCUUGAACUCCUGACCUCAAAGGAUCCUCCCGCCUCGGCCUCCCAGAGUGAUUUCACUACCCUACAUUAGCGGAUUUGCAGUGGCUUGAAAACCCGUCUCGUGUUUCGUCUGGAUUUCUCGGUUGUUUCAGACAAACCCUCGGCUGGUCACAAUUCUUUGCCUGGUGGGGUGACCCAAAUCUUUAUUCCUGAAAGGUAUGAAGUCUCAGUAGUCCUUUCUUCCUUUUCUUUCUUUCUUUCCUUUCUUCCUUUCCUUCCUUCUUUCCUUCCUUUCUUUCUUAUUUUUUUCUUCUUCUUUGUUGUUGUCACUAUUGUUGUUGUCUGUUGUUACUGUAGGUUUGAGUUGCCUGUUUGUUCAAUGGCAUUACUAGACCAACAUGGAUGUUUGGUAGUCUUAGCUUCCAAUUCAAUGGAAACAUUUUCCCUCUGAAAACCAAAACCUCCAAACCAGCAGAGCUCAAAACAGCAGAGCAGCAGAGCUGCUGCAUCCUGUAAGAUGGAACGCCAUGCUUGCAGGGCGUGUCUCCUAGCCGACAGCCUAGCAGUCUUCAGGAGGCCAUGCCACUGUCCUGGUAAGCCAGCAGCUUCUGGGUGAUGGCACAUGCGGUGAAACAAGUGAACUCGAGUGGGAACACACUCACUGCUGUAUUUCUUUUGCUGUGAAAUGAGUUUCUGGAUUAGAAGCAAUACGAUGUGGAGUAUGAAGUCACAUGAUAGUGAAUAUGGCACAAACGCUAUGGUCAAGGAAGGCAGAUCAGUAUUGAGAUCGUGUGUCCAUCCCAAAGACGACAAAUCCCUUUCCUCUGCAUGCUGGAAGGGGUCCGACAUAAUCACCUUGCCACCACGGGCUCACUGCUCUCAGGGAAACGCGCCGGAUCGGGCUCAGUGGCGUGCGCGGCUGCGCAGGCACCCAGCUGGGUCCACAGUGCCCGGGAAGUCUGUGGGUGAAUCCAGAACAAAGCUGUGUUUGUUCUGUGCUUAAAGAUUCAGCUGUGUUAGAUGGAGCAAAAAGCAAGGACCCUGUCCCUUACAGCCACACUGCCAAAAACAAUCGCGACGUCGCAGUUUCCAGGCGGCCUCCCCAUCAGCACUGGACUAGUGAAAAAGCUGUUGAUUUGGUGAAUGUGCGGUAGCAAGCCAGUCGGAGCCGCCGGCAGUCGGGGUUGUGAAGGUUUCCCUAGGUUGCUUGACAUUAAAUGGCUAUGCUGCACAUUCCUUCCUUUUUAAGGCUGUGGCAAAUUUCCAUUCAAGGGUUAAACUCAUCCAUAGAAAAUUAAGCCAUUUCUUGCUACACUAAAACAUAAGAACAGCAGUCACGUGACAGUGCGGGUCUCAACGCGGCUGGUCUGGGCAGCCUUGCCGAGCAGCUUUACAGACAGGCUGAGUGUGACCCGACUUGUUUGCCAGGCAGCUAUUCCAGAAGAGGUAGUUUACUGACAGAAGGAGAUUGAAGGUGGAGUACUGAUUGCACAAUCAAAGCCUAGAGGCUGCUGACCUGAGUAAAAUGUUGUGUAAAUCCUGAACUCACUCUAGAGAAAAAAAAAUUAAGUCACAGGGAGGAAGAGGGAUUAACUCAGCAAUGAAACACCAGGUGACUCCUACUCGCCUCUCCCUAACAGUGACCCAGUGUGCGAGGCUUAGCAAGUCGGUCUCCAUCCAGGCUCCCGUGAGGUCCCGGGAGCAGAGUCCUAUUGGCAUUCUUGGCAAAACAAGUCCUGAUGAAUACGGCAGGAGAACAACUGUAAGGCCCGUAAAGCAUCAGACUAUGACCUGGUGACGGCACUCCGACAGCUGGAACUGCGUUUUCUCUGGCCCAGGGAACUUUGAAAUGCAAAGAGCCACACAACAGACAUGCAGCGAAUUUUGUGAGAAUCAAGUGAAAAAGAAAAUGAGCAGCAGCAGCCAACAUUACACUCUGCUCACGUUUGGAAUUCCUUUAGCCAUCUACAUUUCUUUUUAGCCCUGAGGAUGUGGCCUAGGACUGUCUUUAUGGCUGCACGAUAUGCUGGUUAUACCUAUUCCAAAUUUAUUACAGCAAGACUAGAUCUAAACCAUCACUGCUACAGAGCAUGAAUGAAAAUGUCCAUUGAGACAUGCCAGAGCACAUUUCAAACCAGAAAUCGCCUUGAUAGAAGCUCAUCAGUGCAGGUCUAAAGCAGGUCAUGAAUUGAGAGCAUCUCUAGAGAAAAGUAAAUGGUUAAGUUCUCAAACCAGAAGCAGAGAUCAUUGAAACCAUCACAUUGUUGGCGCUCAGAAGAGGGAAGCACCCCGAUGACCCAAAUUGGGCUCUCAUGCACGAGAUGAUGAAUUCGGUCAAUUUGUUAUACUUUGUAUUCCUUGCUGUUCUACAGAACCUGUGAUGAAAUUUAAAUUGACUGAUAAAUUCCUUAAUAGAAUUUAAAUGAUAAGUGUCCCAAGAUGUGUUUUCUUCUGGAUCAGAUAUAAGAAUGUGCUGAAAUAGGAAAUCAGCUUCACAACAGGAAAUGCACUUCAAAGAAAUAUGACUCACAAACUUUUUUGAAUGAACUCCACUUGGGGAGACGGUUCCCCACGGCUUGCCCUCCUCAUCCAUUCCAACUUUCCCAUGGGAAGAAAAGGCUUGACAACAAAGAAUUAGAGAGGAACAAAUCAAUCAAGGUAGUAAUUAUGCAGCAAUUCCACAAGAACAAUGACCAAAAGAAAACUACGACAAUAAUUUUACAAAUACAUUAUUUAAUGCAAAAAUAUCAGCACUUCACGAUCAUGGCCAACUUAAGUUAUGCCUGAGAAGUAGGGUGAUGACACAACUUAUCACUCACACCAUAACACUUCUGAGAGUAUAAGGUAGUGCUGUUAAUAAUUUUGCCAGGAGAUUAGGCACAACCUGCAAGUGGCCCAGGAGGCCAAGGAGACCCGGGACAUGUGGUCGCCCAAGCGAUAACUCACAAACAACAUAUCCUUCAAGGAAGUGUGGGAAUUCCAAGCACCUAGAUGAGCACUUGCUCAAUAAGGACCCUGCAGCAUUAUUGGCAGUUAUACACCAAAAGCAGGUUCUCGGUAUCCUCUAGCAAUAUGCUAAUUCUAGUGCACAAGCGCUCCUGACAGCGGGGGCCUUCGUGCACCUCAGAGAUUUCGCUCCACCUGACUUCAGUCCACGAGGGUUCACCUCACCACUCAUGUCAUUCAGUUCCAAAUAUUUCUUAAUUUGUUUUAUGAAGUUAGUUUAGAUUCCAAGAUUUCUUUACUAAUAUUUGGUUUCCAACAUACAUUUAAACUAUUCUUCUGUUAUUUCUUUACUUAUUUUUUAAUUGACAAAUAAAAAUUUUACAUAUGUAUCAUGUACAACCUGAUGUUUUGAAAUGUUUACAUUGUGGAAUGUCUCAAUCCAUCUAAUGAACAUAUGCAUUACCUCACGUACUAUUUCUUUGUGGUGAGAACACUUCAAAUCUACUCUCAGUGAUUUUCCAGUAAACAAUAUAUUCUUAUUUACUAUGGUCGCUAUGAUGUAUAGUAGAUCUCUUGAACUUAUUCCUCUUAUCUAAUUGAAAUUUUGUGUCCGUUUACCAACAUAUCCCCAAUUGCUCCACCUCCAGCCUCUGGUCACUACCAUAACUUAACACAGUGCCCUUCAAGUUCACCCGUUUUCACAAUUGACAGGAUUUCCUUCCUUUUUAAGGCUGAAUAGUAUUCCCUUGUGUAUAUACACCCCGCUUUCUUUAUCCAUUCCUCUGUUGAUGGACACUUAGGUUGACUCCGUAUCUUAGCUGUUAGGAACAGUGCUGCAAUGACCAUGAUGAGCAUGCACGUGUCUCUUCAACUACUGGAUACUUCAUAUUCUUUGAAUGUACCAAUGGUGGGGUUGCUGGAUCAUCUGGUAGUUGUAUUUUUAAUUUUUUGAGGAGCCUCCAUACCAUUUUCUAUAUGGCCAUCUUUUGUUAUUGAUUUCUAGUUUUAUUGACAAGUGUAGUCAGAAAACACAGUCUUGAUAUGAUAUUGCUUCUGGAACUUAUUGAGGCAUCUUAUGUGGCCUAGUAUGAUUUUCUUUUAACAUUUAGUUUUUGCUCAAAAAGAGAGCAUUUAUUGCCCCUACUUUUACUUCCUCAUGGUACCUAUGUUGCCACUUCCAUGUCUGUGGGUGCUGGUGACCUGAAACCACCAGCUUCAUCAGUUACCAGG
Non-coding RNA from Microcebus murinus (gray mouse lemur), 4175 nucleotides. The record is from RefSeq and is a predicted model, not a curated record. Lineage: Eukaryota; Metazoa; Chordata; Mammalia; Primates; Cheirogaleidae.